UACAGAGGUCCCAAGCGUUGAUCGGAUUCACUGGGCGUAAAGGGUGCGUAGGUGGUCGGGUAAGUCUGAUGUGAAAGCUCUGGGCUCAACCCAGAAAUGGCAUUGGAUACUAUCUGGCUAGAGGAAUGGAGGGGGGACUGGAAUACUUGGUGUAGCAGUGAAAUGCGUAGAUAUCAAGUGGAACACCAGUGGCGAAGGCGAGUCCCUGGACAUUUCCUGACACUGAGGCACGAAAGCUAGGGGAGCAAACAGG
This 253-nucleotide ribosomal RNA is filed under the name uncultured bacterium. RNAcentral's name for it is "partial 16S ribosomal RNA". It matches the Rfam family "Bacterial small subunit ribosomal RNA", at positions 524 to 776 of the family's 1533-position model. The record is from RNAcentral.